RNAcentral lists this ribosomal RNA (465 nucleotides) under Vreelandella stevensii. RNAcentral's name for it is "partial 16S ribosomal RNA". It matches the Rfam family "Bacterial small subunit ribosomal RNA", at positions 338 to 795 of the family's 1533-position model. The record is from RNAcentral. Lineage: Bacteria; Pseudomonadati; Pseudomonadota; Gammaproteobacteria; Oceanospirillales; Halomonadaceae.
CCUACGGGGGGCUGCAGUGGGGAAUAUUGGACAAUGGGGGCAACCCUGAUCCAGCCAUGCCGCGUGUGUGAAGAAGGCCCUCGGGUUGUAAAGCACUUUCAGUGAGGAAGAACGCCUGGUGGUUAAUACCCAUCAGGAAAGACAUCACUCACAGAAGAAGCACCGGCUAACUCCGUGCCAGCAGCCGCGGUAAUACGGAGGGUGCGAGCUUUAAUCGGAAUUACUGGGCGUAAAGCGCGCGUAGGUGGCUUGAUAAGCCGGUUGUGAAAGCCCCGGGCUCAACCUGGGAACGGCAUCCGGAACUGUCAAGCUAGAGUGCAGGAGAGGAAGGUAGAAUUCCCGGUGUAGCGGUGAAAUGCGUAGAGAUCGGGAGGAAUACCAGUGGCGAAGGCGGCCUUCUGGACUGACACUGACACUGAGGUGCGAAAGCGUGGGUAGCAAACAGGAUUAGAUACCCUUGUAGUC